GUCGAACGAGAAAGCCCGCAAGGGUGAGUAAAGUGGCGUACGGGUGAGUAACACGUGGGUAAUCUACCUUUUGGUGGGGAAUAACCCUGGGAAACCGGGGCUAAUACCGCAUAAGCUCGAAAGAGGAAAGGAGCAAUUCGCCGAAAGAGGAGCCCGCGGCUGAUUAGCUAGUUGGUGAGGUAAGAGCUCACCAAGGCGAUGAUCGGUAGCCGGCCUGAGAGGGCACACGGCCACACUGGCACUGAAACACGGGCCAGACUCCUACGGGAGGCAGCAGUGGGGAAUCUUGCACAAUGGGGGAAACCCUGAUGCAGCGACGCCGCGUGAGUGAUGAAGCCCUUCGGGGUGUAAAGCUCUUUCGGCAGGGACGAUAAUGACGGUACCUGAAGAAGAAGCUGCGGCUAACUACGUGCCAGCAGCCGCGGUAAUACGUAGGCAGCGAGCGUUGUUCGGAGUUACUGGGCGUAAAGAGUGCGUAGGCGGUUUUCUAAGUUUGGUGUGAAAUCUCCCGGCUUAACUGGGAGGGUGCGCCGAAGACUGGAAGGCUAGAGUAUGGGAGAGGUAAGCGGAAUUCCUGGUGUAGCGGUGAAAUGCGUAGAUAUCAGGAGGAACACCUGCGGUGUAGACGGCUUACUGGACCAUAACUGACGCUGAGGCACGAAAGCGUGGGUAGCAAACAGGAUUAGAUACCCUGGUAGUCCACGCCCUAAACGAUGCAUACUUGGUGUGGGUAGUUCAUUCUAUCCGUGCCGGAGCUAACGCGUUAAGUAUGCCGCCUGGGGAGUACGGUCGCAAGGCUG
This 800-nucleotide ribosomal RNA is filed under the name uncultured Bacillota bacterium. RNAcentral describes it as "bacterial SSU rRNA". It matches the Rfam family "Bacterial small subunit ribosomal RNA", at positions 61 to 896 of the family's 1533-position model. The record is from RNAcentral. Lineage: Bacteria; Bacillati; Bacillota.